This 255-nucleotide ribosomal RNA is filed under the name Tipulidae sp. BOLD:ABW4946. RNAcentral describes it as "partial 18S small subunit ribosomal RNA". It matches the Rfam family "Eukaryotic small subunit ribosomal RNA", at positions 1313 to 1474 of the family's 1831-position model. The record is from RNAcentral. Lineage: Eukaryota; Metazoa; Arthropoda; Insecta; Diptera; Tipulidae.
GUCUGGUUAAUUCCGAUAACGAACGAGACUCAAAUUUCUUAAAUAGAUGCCGGCAGGGUUAUGAUGUUGAAACUUUAUAUGCACAAAAUCCUCUAUAUGGUAUAGUGUUUUCGGAUAUUAUAUUAUAUAUGGUUUUGUUGUAUUGUAAAUGGAGUUGUACCUGGUGGUUUGUCCGAACAAGACACUUGCUUCUUAAAUGGACAAAUUGCGUCUAGCAAUAAUGAGAUUGAGCAAUAACAGGUCUGUGAUGCCCUU